AGAAAAUUGAAGCCAUCUUUCGUUUUUGCAAAGCUGGAACAAGGAGGCAGGUUUUCAGUGAAGUAAGAGGCCUUUCAAUCCAUUCCAUUCACUUAUAGGAGAGUGGUUUUCCUUCGAGAUUUUGAUUGUGGGAGGAUCUGUUACUCCUAUUCUACUCUAGAUAGACUAUGUCUUGCAACUUGUAUUUGCUUUCCAGUGUUAAAUUUCCAAGAUAGACAAAUGCUAUUUGAAGAUUUAGCAUUGCAAGCCGUUGACGGAAAUUCUGGCAGAUGAAGGAGAUGGAACAACAGAAAAGAUUGAAUUCCAGUAAACUGAGAACUUCAG
This 324-nucleotide unclassified non-coding RNA is filed under the name Hevea brasiliensis (rubber tree). The record is from RNAcentral. Lineage: Eukaryota; Viridiplantae; Streptophyta; Magnoliopsida; Malpighiales; Euphorbiaceae.